CCUACGGGAGGCAGCAGUGGGGAAUAUUGGUCAAUGGGCGCGAGCCUGAACCAGCCAAGUCGCGUGAAGGAUGACUGCCCUACGGGUUGUAAACCUCUUUUAUAAAGGAAUAAAGUGAGGCACGUGUGCCUUUUUGUAUGUACUUUAUGAAUAAGGAUCGGCUAACUCCGUGCCAGCAGCCGCGGUAAUACGGAGGAUCCGAGCGUUAUCCGGAUUUAUUGGGUUUAAAGGGUGCGUAGAUGGGUUGUUAAGUCAGUUGUGAAAGUGUGCGGCUCAACCGUAAAAUUGCAAUUGAUACUGGCAGGCUUGAGUACAGUUGAGGGAGGCGGAAUUCGUGGUGUAGCGGUGAAAUGCUUAGAUAUCACGAAGAACUCCGAUUGCGAAGGCAGCCUACUAGGCUGCCACUGACGUUGAUGCUCGAAAGUGUGGGUAUCAAACAGGAUUAGAUACCCGUGUAGUC
Molecule: ribosomal RNA, 460 nt
Filed under: uncultured bacterium
Lineage: Bacteria
Description: partial 16S ribosomal RNA
Rfam family: Bacterial small subunit ribosomal RNA
Source: RNAcentral